CCGGGGCUCAGCGGAGGUGACUCCAGGAGACAACGUCCCCCGGAACUUCAGUGGAACGUAAUAUAUAUAUUUACUGAGACUUUUCUGAACAGACUGGAGGCCAAACAUUGUGUCCCCAUCCAAACAGAAUACUUUGUAUACACCUAUGUGUUAAAGGGCGUCCAAUUCAAUCUGCAUGUAGACCAGUGGUCUCAAACUGUGACCAGCAUGCCUGGUCAGCCAAAAGCCUGUCUGCCUUCUCCAAAGGAUCUACACCGUCCCUGAAAGGAACUGUCCAGAGCAGGAGAAAAUCCCCAUAGCAAACAGUCUGUUGCUGCGAGGCUGCUCCUCUGCGUCUAGCCUCUGUACGAUAAUAUUGGAAGUUGAAUAAAGAUUUCUACCAGCAAGAGAUCCGGCCUUUAGCCAAAACAAAAAAAGGACCGAAACUAGAAGGAGCGUGACUUGCAGGAGGGGAUAGCUUGCACACCGGACUGACACACUCUCCAGGAAUUGCGGAGCUUGUGGAGUAAGGUACUGGAAGUCCCUAAGACUUGCAUGGGGCUUUAGAUUAAAACCCUGUCCCUCGCAAUGGAGGAGGCGGAGCCAGGUCAAAGAAGUAUCUGACAGCUAAGAACAGUAUUACCCUGAAUGAAUAUCCGGAAACAAAGUGUUAAUCAGCUCAUCACCCUCCACAAGUCCUGCCACUGCACUGACAGGAAAGGACCUCAAUUCCAGAGAGCACUUAGGUAAGGAAGGAAACAACCAGCGCUGCUUAAGCAGCGCUGGAUGUUUCCUCCCUUACCUAAGUACCCUGUAUGAAUGGGGCAGUCCCUGUCCGCACUGCUGCUCCAACUUUUGGAGACUGCUGAAGAUAGACAAAGCCGAAGAUAGUCCUCAUUUACAGUUUAAUGGGGUUUACAAAAAAAAAAGUUAUCCCCUAUCCACAGGAUAGGUGAUAACUAGCUGAUCGGUGGUAGUCUGACCACUGGAACCUCCACCUAU
Hyla sarda is the source of this 981-nucleotide long non-coding RNA. RefSeq lists it as uncharacterized. The transcript is spliced from 4 exons. NCBI's taxonomy places the organism in Eukaryota, Metazoa, Chordata, Amphibia, Anura, Hylidae. The record is from RefSeq and is a predicted model, not a curated record.